AGUGAACGCUGGCGGUAGGCCUAACACAUGCAAGUCGAACGGCAGCACAGUAAGAGCUUGCUCUUACGGGUGGCGAGUGGCGGACGGGUGAGGAAUACAUCGGAAUCUACUUUUUCGUGGGGGAUAACGUAGGGAAACUUACGCUAAUACCGCAUACCACCUACGGGUGAAAGCAGGGGAUCUUCGGACCUUUCGCGAUUGAAUGAGCCGAUGUCGGAUUAGCUAGUUGGCGGGUUAAAGGCCCACCAAGGCGACGAUCCGUAGCUGGUCUGAGAGGAUGAUCAGCCACACUGGAACUGAGACACGGUCCAGACGCCUACGGGAGGCAGCAGUGGGGAAUAUUGGACAAUGGGCGGAAGCUUGAUCCAGCCAUACCGCGUGGAUGAAGAAGGACUUCGGGUUGUAAAGCCCUUUUGUUGGGAAAGAAAAGCAGCAGGUUAAUAACCCGCUGUUCUGACGGUACCCAAAGAAUAAGCACCGGCUAACUUCGUG
Molecule: ribosomal RNA, 492 nt
Filed under: uncultured bacterium
Lineage: Bacteria
Description: partial 16S ribosomal RNA
Rfam family: Bacterial small subunit ribosomal RNA
Source: RNAcentral